GCCGCGGUAACUCAGCUGGGAGAGUGCCAGACUGAAGAUCUGGAUGUCGCCGGUUCGAGACCGGCCCGCGGCA
RNAcentral lists this transfer RNA (73 nucleotides) under Thermoplasmata archaeon. RNAcentral describes it as "tRNA-Phe". It matches the Rfam family "tRNA". From Rfam's summary of the family: Transfer RNA (tRNA) molecules are approximately 80 nucleotides in length. Their secondary structure includes four short double-helical elements and three loops (D, anti-codon, and T loops). Lineage: Archaea; Methanobacteriati; Thermoplasmatota; Thermoplasmata. The record is from RNAcentral.